This 468-nucleotide ribosomal RNA is filed under the name uncultured bacterium. RNAcentral's name for it is "partial 16S ribosomal RNA". It matches the Rfam family "Bacterial small subunit ribosomal RNA", at positions 28 to 507 of the family's 1533-position model. The record is from RNAcentral.
GACGAACGCUGGCGGCGUGCUUAACACAUGCAAGUCGAACGGAAAGGCCCUGCUUUUGUUGGGUUCUCGAGUGGCGAACGGGGGAGUAACACGUGAGUAACCUGCCCCUGACUUUGUGAUAACUUCAGGAAACUGGGGCUAAUACCGCAUAGGAGCUCCUGCUGCAUGGUGGGGGUUGGAAAGUUUCGGCUGUUGGGGAUGGACUGGCUGGUUAUCCGCUUGUUGGUGGGGUAGUGGCUUACCAAGGGUUUGACGGGUAGCCGGCCUGAGAGGGUGACCGGCCACAUUGGGACUGAGAUACGGCCCAGACUCCUACGGGAGGCAGCAGUGGGGAAUAUUGCACAAUGGGCGGAAGCCUGAUGCAGCAACGCCGCGUGCGGGAUGACGGCCUUCGGGUUGUAAACCGCUUUCGACUGUGACGAAGCGUGAGUGACGGUAAUGGGUAAAGAAGCACCGGCUAACUACGUG